AAGCAUAUCAUAGGGGGGGAGAGGAAG
This 27-nucleotide ribosomal RNA is filed under the name Curvularia trifolii. Its description in RNAcentral is "partial 28S ribosomal RNA". The record is from RNAcentral. Lineage: Eukaryota; Fungi; Ascomycota; Dothideomycetes; Pleosporales; Pleosporaceae.